CCUACGGGAGGCAGCAGUGGGGAAUAUUGGACAAUGGGGGGAACCCUGAUCCAGCGACGCCGCGUGAGUGAAGAAGUAUUUCGGUAUGUAAAGCUCUAUCAGCAGGGAAGAAAAUGACGGUACCUGACCAAGAAGCCCCGGCUAACUACGUGCCAGCAGCCGCGGGAAUACGUAGGGGGCCAGCGUUAUCCGGAUUUACCGGGUGGAAAGGGAGCGUAGACGGGGCAGCAAGUCUGAUGUGAAAGGUCGGGGCCCAACCCCGGGACUGCAUUGGAAACUGUUGAACUGGAGUGCAGGAGAGGUAAGCGGAAUUCCUAGUGUAGCGGUGAAAUGCGUAGAUAUUAGGAGGAACACCAGUGGCGAAGGCGGCUUACUGGACUGUAACUGACGUUGAGGCUCGAAAGCGUGGGGAGCAAACAGGAUUAGAUACCCUUGUAGUC
Molecule: ribosomal RNA, 440 nt
Filed under: uncultured bacterium
Lineage: Bacteria
Description: partial 16S ribosomal RNA
Rfam family: Bacterial small subunit ribosomal RNA
Source: RNAcentral